This 1584-nucleotide ribosomal RNA is filed under the name Candidatus Omnitrophota bacterium. RNAcentral's name for it is "bacterial SSU rRNA". It matches the Rfam family "Bacterial small subunit ribosomal RNA". Lineage: Bacteria; Pseudomonadati; Candidatus Omnitrophota. The record is from RNAcentral.
UUGGAGGGUUUGAUCCUGGCUCAGAGUGAACGCUGGCGGCGUGGAUUAGGCAUGCAAGUCGAGCGAUCCCUUUCAUUGAAAUGUGAUGAAGUCUUCGGACCGAUUCGCAUGGAUAUGUGCGGGAUAGCGGCAAACGGGUGAGUAAUACGUGGGUAAUGUACCGUAAGGAGAAGGAUAGCCUCGCGAAAGCGGGGGUAAUACUUCAUAUUGUCAUGUGCCUGGAAUGACACGUGAUGAAAGAUGGCCUCUACUUGUAAGCUAUCACCAUACGAGCAGCCCACGACCUAUCAGGUUGUUGGUAGGGUAAAGGCCUACCAAGCCAUUGACGGGUAGCUGGCCUGAGAGGGUGGUCAGCCACAUCGGGACUGAGACACUGCCCGGACUCCUACGGGAGGCUGCAGUCGAGAAUCUUUCCCAAUGAGCGAAAGCUUGAGGAUGCGACGCCGCGUGGGGGAUGAAGGGCUUCGGCCUGUAAACUCCUUUUAUCGGAGAGGAAGGCUUAUCUUUCAAAUAGGAAGAUGAGAUGACUGUAUCCGAUGAAUAAGUCACGGCUAACUCCGUGCCAGCAGCCGCGGUAAUACGGAGGUGGCAAGCGUUACUCGGUUUGACUGGGUGUAAAGGGUCCGCAGGCGGCCAAAUAAGUGAAAGGUGAAAUCCCACGGCUCAACCGUGGAACUGCCUCUCAAACUGUUUGGCUCGAGGCUGAAAGAGGAGAGCAGAACUGCCAGUGUAAGGGUGAAAUCUGUGGAUAUUGGCAGGAAUGCCCGUGGAGAAAUCGGCUCUCUGGUUCAGAUCUGACGCUCAGGGACGAAAGCUAGGGGAGCGAACAGGAUUAGAUACCCUGGUAGUCCUAGCUGUAAACGAUGGGCACUAGGUGUUCGCCUUAGGGUGAGUGCCGCAGGUAACCCGUUAAGUGCCCCACCUGGGAACUACGGCCGCAAGGCUAAAACUCAAAGGAAUUGACGGGGGCCCGCACAAGCGGUGGAACACGUGGUUUAAUUCGAUGCUACGCGAGGAACCUUACCAGGGCUUGACAUGCAGGAAGUAGUAUCCCGAAAGGGAGUCCGACCGGUAACCAAUCCGGAACCUGCACAGGUGCUGCAUGGCUGUCGUCAGCUCGUGCCGUGAGGUGUUCCCUUAAGUGGGAAAACGAGCGCAACCCUCACCCUUAGUUGCUAGUAUAUCUUCGGAUAUACGCACUCUAAGGGGACUGCCCGCGAUAAAGUGGGAGGAAGGUGGGGACGACGUCAAGUCCGCAUGGCCCUUAUGUCCUGGGCUACACACGUGUUACAAUGCCUGUUACAGAGGGUUGCCAAUCCGCGAGGUGGAGCUAAUCCCAGAAAAGCAGGCUCAGUUCGGAUCGAGGGCUGCAAUUCGCCCUCGUGAAGCUGGAAUCGCUAGUAAUGGCACAUCAGCUACGGUGCCGUGAAUACGUUCCCGGGCCUUGUACACACCGCCCGUCAAGCGCUGAAAGUGGGGGGCACCCGAAACCCCGAUUUCGGGAUCACGGUGAACUUCAUGAUUGGCGCUAAGUCGUAACAAGGUAGCCGUACGGGAACGUGCGGCUGGAUCACCUCCUUUCUA